CCCUUAGAUGUUCUGGGCCGCACGCGCGCUACACUGAUGAAUGCAACGAGCUCUACCCUUGACCGAAAGGCCCGGGCAAACUUGUGAAACUUCAUCGUGAUGGGGAUAGAUUAUUGCAAUUAUUAAUCUUCAACGAGGAAUUCCUAGUAAGCGCGAGUCAUCAGCUCGCGUUGAUUACGUCCCUGCCCUUUGUACACACCGCCCGUCGCUCCUACCGAUUGAAUGGUCCGGUGAAAUCUUCGGAUUGCUGACCAAGAUCCAGCAAUGGAGCUUGGUUGCGAGAAGUUGAUUAAACCUUAUUAUUUAGAGGAAGGAGAAGUCGUAACA
Molecule: ribosomal RNA, 327 nt
Filed under: uncultured eukaryote
Lineage: Eukaryota
Description: partial 18S ribosomal RNA
Rfam family: Eukaryotic small subunit ribosomal RNA
Source: RNAcentral